RNAcentral lists this ribosomal RNA (255 nucleotides) under uncultured soil bacterium. RNAcentral's name for it is "partial 16S ribosomal RNA". It matches the Rfam family "Bacterial small subunit ribosomal RNA", at positions 26 to 285 of the family's 1533-position model. The record is from RNAcentral.
AGGACGAACGCUGGCGACGUGCUUAACACAUGCAAGUCGAACGGUGAAGCCCUUCGGGGUGGAUCAGUGGCGAACGGGUGAGUAACACGUGAGCAACCUACCUCUGACUCUGGGAUAAGCCCGGGAAACCGGGUCUAAUACCGGAUACGAGCAUCGCAGUCAUCUGCUGGUGCUGGAAAGGAUUCUGGUCAGGGAUGGGCUCGCGGCCUAUCAGCUUGUUGGUGAGGUAAUGGCUCACCAAGGCGACGACGGGUA